RNAcentral lists this microRNA (22 nucleotides) under Anolis carolinensis (green anole). RNAcentral's name for it is "aca-miR-5396b-3p". Lineage: Eukaryota; Metazoa; Chordata; Lepidosauria; Squamata; Anolidae. The record is from miRBase by way of RNAcentral.
UCUUCUUGCUGUUUGUGCAGGU